AUACGGAGGGUGCAAGCGUUAAUCGGAAUUACUGGGCGUAAAGCGCGCGUAGGCGGCUUGGUAAGUCGGAUGUGAAAUCCCCGGGCUUAACCUGGGAAUUGCAUUCGAUACUGUCAGGCUAGAGUGUGGUAGAGGGAAGUGGAAUUUCCGGUGUAGCGGUGAAAGGCGUAGAUAUCGGAAGGAACACCAGUGGCGAAGGCGGCUUCCUGGACCAACACUGACGCUGAGGCGCGAAAGCGUGGGGAGCAAACAGGAUUAGAAACCCUAGUAGUCC
RNAcentral lists this ribosomal RNA (274 nucleotides) under uncultured bacterium. RNAcentral describes it as "partial 16S ribosomal RNA". It matches the Rfam family "Bacterial small subunit ribosomal RNA", at positions 523 to 796 of the family's 1533-position model. The record is from RNAcentral.